RNAcentral lists this ribosomal RNA (254 nucleotides) under uncultured bacterium. Its description in RNAcentral is "partial 16S ribosomal RNA". It matches the Rfam family "Bacterial small subunit ribosomal RNA", at positions 524 to 776 of the family's 1533-position model. The record is from RNAcentral.
UACGUAGGGUGCGAGCGUUGUCCGGAAUUAUUGGGCGUAAAGAGCUCGUAGGCGGUGUGUCACGUCGAUCGUGAAAACCUGCAGCUUAACUGUGGGCGUGCGGUCGAUACGGGCAUCACUGGAGUUCGGCAGGGGAGACUGGAAUUCCUGGUGUAGCGGUGAAAUGCGCAGAUAUCAGGAGGAACACCGGUGGCGAAGGCGGGUCUCUGGGCCGAUACUGACGCUGAGGCGCGAAAGCUAGGGUAGCAAACGGG